Molecule: long non-coding RNA, 506 nt
Filed under: Ananas comosus (pineapple)
Lineage: Eukaryota; Viridiplantae; Streptophyta; Magnoliopsida; Poales; Bromeliaceae
Description: long non-coding RNA (ACOM_LNC002974)
Source: RNAcentral
UACUAUACCUUAAUUUGUUAGGUAUAUCUAACAUCUUGUUUUAUUUCCUGGGCUUGUUUAGUUUACCUAUUUUAGACUAUAGAAUUUGAGAUUCAUUGGUUUCGAUAAUUGUUAUUUAUUUUAUAGAAAUCGGACUCUAAUUUUUCAUUCUACUCUAGAAUAAAAAUAAUUCAAUCUAUUUAUAGCUUAAUCUAGCUUUGAAUUUCAGAUUGCCCCAUUUCACAGUAAACUACUCAAAACUUUCUCUCACAAACACCUUUCCAUCCUCUCCCUUCAUCACUCUUCUGUCUCUUAAAUAAAACUCUGUUUCAAAGUCCUAGAUGUCGAUUCCGCAUUCCAUUAAUUCCAAUAAUGAAUCAAAUAUAUAUUUUUGAAUAAUUCGUCAUUCCAUUUUUCAUUCCAAUGCAAUCUAAUGUCAUUUUUCAAUUUUAUUCCAAUCAUGAACUGAACACGUCCUUAAUGUUUUUAUACAAAACUUUGAUAUCAUUUUAUAUAAACCACAAAUU